GUGAACAACGAAGGGCGCGCGGUGGAUGCCUAGGCUCUCGGAGGCGAUGAAGGACGCGAUAAGCCGCGAUAGGCCACGGCGAGGUGCAAGUAACCCUUGACCCGUGGAUUUCCGAAUGGGGCAACCCGGCCGUCUAGAUGACGGUCAUGCAGUAAUGCAAGCGAACGCGGGGAACUGAAACAUCUCAUUACCCGCAGGAGAAGAAAACAAAAUGUGAUUCCCCCAGUAGUGGCGAGCGAACGGGGAAGAGCCCAAACCGUUGCCGUUUCGGCGACAGCGGGGUCAUGGGACCGCGAUAUUCGACGGAAGACGAAGUGCAAUUACCUGGAAAGGUAAGCCGUGGAGGGUGACAGCCCCGUGCACGACACCUCUUUCGAAGAUAGCGGGAUCCCGAGUAGGGCGGGACACGAGAAAUCCUGCCUGAAUUCGCCAGGACCGCCUGGCAAGGCUAAAUACUCCCGAGAGACCGAUAGUGAACCAGUACCGCGAGGGAAAGGUGAAAAGUACCCCGAGCAGGGGGGUGAAAUAGACCCUGAACCCGCGCGCCUACAAGCGGUCGGAGCCAUGAAAUAUGGUGACGGCGUGCCUUUUGCAUAAUGAGCCUACGAGUUAGUCGUCACCAGCGAGGUUAAGGGCUUCAGGCCCGUUAGCCGAAGUGAAAGCGAGCCUUAACAGGGCGUCGAGUUGGUGGCGCUAGACGCGAAACCUUGUGAUCUACCCACGAGCAGGUUGAAGUCGCGGUAACACGUGAUGGAGGACCGAACCGGUAAACGUUGAAAAGUUUUCGGAUGACUCGCGGGUAGGGGUGAAAGGCCAAUCAAACUGGGAAAUAGCUCGUACUCUCCGAAAUGCAUUUCGGUGCAGCCUGUGAUGUUCUGUUCCAGAGGUAGAGCUACUGGUUGGACGCGAGGGCUUCACCGCCUAUCAAAUCCGGAUAAACUCCGAAUGCUGGAACACGAAAUCAUGGAGUGAGCCCGCGGGUGCUAAGGUCCGCGGACGAGAGGGAAAGAACCCGGACCACCGGCUAAGGUCCCGGAUGGACAGUUAAGUUGAUCAAACGAGGUGGGAUCGCGGAGACAGCUAGGAUGUUGGCUUGGAAGCAGCCAUUCAUUUAAAGAGUGCGUAACAGCUCACUAGUCGAGCGAUCCCGCGUGGAUAAUACACGGGCAUCAAACUGUCAACCGAAGCCGUGGGGUUAGUGAUGAGCUAACCGGUAGGAGAGCAUUCCUGCCAGCUUUGAAGGUCACCCGCGAGAGUGACUGGAGCGGCAUGAAAAGCAAAUGUAGGCAUAAGUAACGAUAAUGGGGGCGAGAACCCCCCACGCCGCAAGACCAAGGAUUCCCCGGCAAUGUCAAUCAGCCGGGGGUCAGCCGGCCUCUAAGGCUCACCCGAAAGGGGAUGCCGACGAGAAACGGGUUAACAUUCCCGUGCUUCUCGUCACCGUGACGCGGUGACGGGGUGAUGAAUGGACCGCGCGCUGACGGAAUAGCGCGUUGAAGGCCGUACCCUAUGACGGUGGUAGUCAAGCACGCCACCGGAGGCGAGAGCCGAUAGUACCACGAGACCCCGGUCGAGUGGAUAGCGUCCAGGCAAUUUACCCCCUAGAAAACCCGCUAAACUUCAAGUGACGAGGAACCGUACUGUAAACGGACACACGUGGUCGGGUAGAACAUACCAAGGCGCUCGAGUGAUUCAUGGUCAAGGAACUAGGCAAAAUAGUCCUGUAACCUCGGGAAAAAGGACGCUCUAGUGAUAGAGCCGCAGAGUAAUGGCCCAGGCGACUGUUUACCAAAAACACAUGGCUAUGCCAAAUCGAAAGAUGACGUAUAUGGCCUGACACCUGCCCGGUGCCGGAAGGUUAAGAGGAGAGCUCAUCGGAAACGAGAAGGUUUGAAUUGAAGCCCCGGUAAACGGCGGCCGUAACUAUAACGGUCCUAAGGUAGCGAAAUUCCUUGUCGG
This 1959-nucleotide ribosomal RNA is filed under the name human gut metagenome. Its description in RNAcentral is "bacterial LSU rRNA". It matches the Rfam family "Bacterial large subunit ribosomal RNA", at positions 1 to 1975 of the family's 2925-position model. The record is from RNAcentral.